UCUUUACAGUUGCCAGACCACUCA
Molecule: non-coding RNA, 24 nt
Filed under: Arabidopsis thaliana (thale cress)
Lineage: Eukaryota; Viridiplantae; Streptophyta; Magnoliopsida; Brassicales; Brassicaceae
Source: RNAcentral